Molecule: ribosomal RNA, 2000 nt
Filed under: human gut metagenome
Description: bacterial LSU rRNA
Rfam family: Bacterial large subunit ribosomal RNA
Source: RNAcentral
CGGAGAUAGCUGGUUCUCUCCGAAAUAGCUUUAGGGCUAGCCUCAAUUAACAUUACCGCAGGUAAAGCACUGAAUGAGCUAGGGGGCGAAAGCUUACUGAACUCUAUCAAACUCAGAAUGGCGGAUAAUGAAUGAUUGGGAGUCACACUACGUGAGAUAAGUUUCGUGGUGGAAAGGGAAACAGCCCAGACCCACAGCUAAGGUCCCAAAGUACAGUUAAGUGGAAAAGGAUGUGAAAUUGCGCAGACAACCAGGAUGUUGGCUCAGAAGCAGCCACUCAUUCAAAGAGUGCGUAAUAGCUCACUGGUCGAGUGAUUUUGCGCCGAAAAUUUAACGGGGCUAAACUGUACACCGAAGCUUGGGAAUAUACAUUUGUAUGUUGGUAGGAGAGCGUUGUGUAAGGGGUGAAGUCGUAGCGAAAGCGGCGGUGGACUUUACACAAGUGAGAAUGCCGGAAUGAGUAGCGAGAAUUAUGUGAGAAUCAUAAUGGCCGAAAGACUAAGGUUUUAGAAGGAAGGUUCGUCCGCUUCUAGUUAGCCGGGAGCUAAGGCGAGGCCGAGAGGCGUAGUCGAUGCACAUACGGUUGAGAUUCCGUAGCUACCUUGCAUUUAAGCGAAGGGACACAUUUGAAGGGCAUGACCCGGGCGUUGGUUGACCCGGGCGUAAGGGACCGAAAAUAAGUAGGGAAGCAUGCUUGGAUGGUGGCGAGAAAAGCUUCGUGUAUAUAAGCAGGGUACCCGUACUGCAAACCGACACAGGUAGUCAGGAAGAGGAUUCUAAGGCCAUCGGGAGAAGCGUUGUUAAGGAACUCGGCAAAUUGACCCCGUAACUUCGGAAUAAGGGGUGCUCACGCGAGUGAGCCGCAGUGAAUAGGUCCAGGCAACUGUUUAUCAAAAACACAGCUCUCUGCUAAAUCGUAAGAUGACGUAUAGGGGGUGACACCUGCCCGGUGCUGGAAGGUUAAGAGGAGGGGUGCAAGCUCCGAAUUGAAGCCCCAGUAAACGGCGGCCGUAACUAUAACGGUCCUAAGGUAGCGAAAUUCCUUGUCGGGUAAGUUCCGACCCGCACGAAUGGUGUAAUGAUCUGGACACUGUCUCAACAACGCACCCGGCGAAAUUGUAGUACCGGUGAAGAUGCCGGUUACCCGCGGCAAGACGGAAAGACCCCAUGGAGCUUCACUGUAGCCUGAUAUUGGGUCUCGGUAUUUUAUGUACAGGAUAGGCGGGAGACUUGGAAACCAGCACGCCAGUGUUGGCGGAGUCACCCUUGGGAUACCGCUCUUAAAGUAUUGAGAUUCUAACCUGCAGCCAUGAAUCUGGCUGGGGGACAUUGUCAGGUGGGCAGUUUGACUGGGGCGGUCGCCUCCAAAAGAGUAACGGAGGCGUUCAAAGGUUCACUCAGCAUGGACGGAAACCAUGCCUUAGAGUGCAAACGCAUAAGUGAGCCUAACUGCGAGACUGACGGGUCGAGCAGUAACGAAAGUUGGAGUUAGUGAUCCGGCGGUAUGUGAGUGGAAAUGCCGUCGCUCAACGGAUAAAAGCUACCCUGGGGAUAACAGGCUGAUCUCCCCCAAGAGUCCACAUCGACGGGGAGGUUUGGCACCUCGAUGUCGGCUCAUCACAUCCUGGGGCUGAAUUCGGUCCCAAGGGUUCGGCUGUUCGCCGAUUAAAGUGGUACGCGAGCUGGGUUCAGAACGUCGUGAGACAGUUCGGUCCCUAUCUGUCGUGGGCGUAGGAUAUUUGAAGGGCGCUGUUCCUAGUACGAGAGGACCGGAAUGGACGCACCGCUGGUGUAUCGGUUGUCAUGCCAAUGGCACGGCCGAGCAGCUAUGUGCGGAUGGGAUAAACGCUGAAAGCAUCUAAGCGUGAAGCCCUCCCUAAGAUAAGAUAUCCCACUGUUUACAGUUAAGACCCCUUAUGGACUAUGAGGUUGAUAGGCUGCGUGUGUAAGUAUGGUGACAUAUUUAGCUAGGCAGUACUAAUAGGUCGAGGGCUUGACCU